This 368-nucleotide ribosomal RNA is filed under the name uncultured organism. Its description in RNAcentral is "bacterial SSU rRNA". It matches the Rfam family "Bacterial small subunit ribosomal RNA", at positions 526 to 896 of the family's 1533-position model. The record is from RNAcentral.
CGGAGGAUCCAAGCGUUGUCCGGAUUUAUUGGGUUUAAAGGGUGCGUAGGCGGAUUAUUAAGUCAGUGGUGAAAGCCGGCAGCUCAACUGUCGAACUGCCAUUGAAACUGAUAGUCUUGAAUGUAGUAGAGGUAGGCGGAAUGUAUCAUGUAGCGGUGAAAUGCUUAGAUAUGAUACAGAACACCAAUUGCGAAAGCAGCUUACUAUGCUAUUAUUGACGCUGAGGCACGAAAGCGUGGGGAUCAAACAGGAUUAGAUACCCUGGUAGUCCACGCUGUAAACGUUGAAUACUCGAUGUUGGCGAUACACUGUCAGCGUCCAAGAGAAAUCGUUAAGUAUUCCACCUGGGGAGUACGCUCGCAAGAGUG